RNAcentral lists this transfer-messenger RNA (363 nucleotides) under Atopobiaceae. RNAcentral's name for it is "RUG721 sp004010535 Standard tmRNA". It matches the Rfam family "transfer-messenger RNA". Rfam says of the family: Bacterial tmRNA, also known as 10Sa RNA or SsrA, is named for its dual tRNA and mRNA-like properties. Its role is to liberate the mRNA from a stalled ribosome. Lineage: Bacteria; Bacillati; Actinomycetota; Coriobacteriia; Coriobacteriales. RNAcentral also lists the same sequence under 1 other name. The record is from RNAcentral.
GGGGGCGACUGGUUUCGACAGGGUGUGUUCGAGACGGGCAGCAGGCCGUGGUCUCCUCGCCACGUUAAACAGGGGUACCGUCAAACGAAUUGACGACAACACCUAUCAGGGCUAUGCCCUCGCUGCUUAAGUAACUAGCAGCCGCUGAUCUGGGGAUCUUCUCCUGUUCCCAAGGAAGCGUCAUUCAGGGAGAUGCACUGCGCGGACGUGGCGGGUAUGCCGCGCAGCCAAGAUCGAACCGGCUAGGGUGUGCGGAGUUGGUCGCUUGGCACCGAACACCCGAACCUUCCCAAGCGACUGAGCCUGGAGACACCUAUCGGGAAUGCGCUUUGGACCGGAGUUCGAUUCUCCGCGCCUCCACCA